This is a long non-coding RNA of Vulpes vulpes (red fox), 457 nucleotides long. NCBI's taxonomy places the organism in Eukaryota, Metazoa, Chordata, Mammalia, Carnivora, Canidae. The record is from Ensembl.
CCCAUCCCUGGAAGAUCCCACGGGAGCCCAUACCUGGGAGACCUCAGGGGAGUCCAUCCCUGGAAGACCUCAGGGGAGUCCAUCCUUGGGAGACCCCAGGAGCCCUCAAGCAGUGAUUUCAGAGUCAUCUCUUCUUCCUUGCAGCCUGGCUGUCCUGCCUGGAACCUCUGAGACUGUUCUGCUCCUCACACCCUCUCAGAAGCAUCCCAGCAAGCCCUGUGGGAUUCAGUGUGGGUCUCUUGAGGUUACUUCCUACUCAUCCAUGCCUGGGCCCCUUGCUCCUUCUGCAAAGACUCCCAUUCCAGGUCCUAGAAGCAAUCCUGACUGGGGACAGCUUAGACCCUGCUCUGAGGCCUUAGUGUGUGAGCCAAGAGGUAAGUCAUACCCUGUGGGGUUUGUAUGGGGCCCACCCUGGACCUCACUCCAGACCUCACUAUCUGCUCUACCCUCAAGGUAA